This 253-nucleotide ribosomal RNA is filed under the name uncultured bacterium. Its description in RNAcentral is "partial 16S ribosomal RNA". It matches the Rfam family "Bacterial small subunit ribosomal RNA", at positions 524 to 776 of the family's 1533-position model. The record is from RNAcentral.
UACAGAGGUCUCAAGCGUUGUUCGGAUUCAUUGGGCGUAAAGGGUGCGUAGGCGGCGCGGUAAGUCGGGUGUGAAAGUCAAAGGCUCAACCUUUGAAAGCCGAUGGAUACUGCAGGGCUAGAGUCCGGAAGAGGCGAGUGGAAUUCCUGGUGUAGCGGUGGAAUGCGCAGAUAUCAGGAGGAACACCAAUGGCGAAGGCAGCUCGCUGGGACGGUACUGACGCUGAGGAGCGAAAGCGUGGGGAGCGAACAGG